GCACAACGCGAAGAACCUUACCAAGGCUUGACAUACACGAGAACACUCUGGAAACAGGGGACUCUUUGGACACUCGUGAACAGGUGGUGCAUGGUUGUCGUCAGCUCGUGUCGUGAGAUGUUGGGGUUAAGUCCCGCAACGAGCGCAACCCUCGUUCUAUGUUGCCAGCACGUUAUGGUGGGAACUCAUGGGAUACUGCCGGGGUCAACUCGGAGGAAGGUGGGGAUGACGUCAAAUCAUCAUGCCCCUUAUGUCUUGGGCUUCACGCAUGCUACAAUGGCCGGUACAAAGGGCUGCAAUACCGUGAGGUGGAGCGAAUCCCAAAAAGCCGGUCCCAGUUCGGAUUGAGGUCUGCAACUCGACCUCAUGAAGUCGGAGUCGCUAGUAAUCGCAGAUCAGCAACGCUGCGGUGAAUACGUUCCCGGGUCUUGUACACACCG
Molecule: ribosomal RNA, 440 nt
Filed under: uncultured bacterium
Lineage: Bacteria
Description: bacterial SSU rRNA
Rfam family: Bacterial small subunit ribosomal RNA
Source: RNAcentral